CGGCGCAGUCAUUGGCCUCUGGAUUUCGGAAGUUUAGGAGCUCCACUGGCUGCUAGGCUGCUAGCCCAUUUUUAGGGCUUGGUGUACUUCCGUAAUGUCUGCGCUAGGCAGGUAAAAGGGGGAGUGUGGGGAAUAGGCGGCUCUGAGGAGACCUUUGAAACCGGAAAGAAUCGGACGACAACCAAGCCAGUGCCGAAUCUACAUGUGGCCAAACAUUGCGGAGGUGAUUUCGGAGGACCUCGGUCUAACAAAAUCGCUUGUGAUUGGCACAAUGGAAGAAUCUAGAAUUUGCAGACCAGGUGUAAAAGCAGAUAUGUUGUGUAACUCUCAGUCAAAUGAUAUUCUUCAACAUCAUGACUCAAAUUGUGGUGGCACGGGUAACAAACAUUCACUGGAAGAGGAUGAAGGCAGUGACUUUAUAACAAAAAACAGGAAUUUGGUGAGCCGAGCAUACUGCAUGCAAGAGUCAAGAGAGAAACCUCCUGGGCCUAAAUCUGGAACAGAGUCUUCUGAUAGUCAGCAGGGUUCAGAGUGCAACAGGAAUAAAGAAAGACCUUUAGGAAAAGAAGUAUUAUUAUUGAUGCAAGCCUUAAAUACUCUCUCAACUCCAGAGGAGAAGCUGGCAGCUCUCUGUAAGAAAUAUGCUGAUCUUGUGAGUAUAAGGGAGCAAGGCCCAUGUAAAAUAUGUCAAAAUGCACA
Molecule: long non-coding RNA, 699 nt
Organism: Myotis davidii
Lineage: Eukaryota; Metazoa; Chordata; Mammalia; Chiroptera; Vespertilionidae
Exons: 4
Source: RefSeq, a predicted model, not a curated record